This 468-nucleotide ribosomal RNA is filed under the name uncultured bacterium. RNAcentral describes it as "partial 16S ribosomal RNA". It matches the Rfam family "Bacterial small subunit ribosomal RNA", at positions 28 to 507 of the family's 1533-position model. The record is from RNAcentral.
GACGAACGCUGGCGGCGUGCUUAACACAUGCAAGUCGAACGGCAAGGCCGUGCUUUUUUGGGGUGAUCGAGUGGCGAACGGGUAAGUAACACGUGUGUAACCUGCCCUUGACUUUGGGAUAACUUAAGGAAACUGGGGCUAAUACCGUAUAGGAGCUCCUGUUGCAUGGUGGGGGUUGGAAAGUUUCGGCGGUUGGGGAUGGACUCGCGGCUGAUCAGCUUGUUGGUGGGGUAGUGGCUUACCAAGGCUUUGAAGGGUAGCCGGCCUGAGAGGGUGACCGGCCACAUUGGGACUGCGAUACGGCCCAGACUCCUACGGGAGGCAGCAGUGGGGAAUAUUGCACAAUGGGCGGAAGCCUGAUGCAGCGACGCCGCGUGCGGGAUGACGGCCUUCGGGUUGUAAACCGCUUUCGCCUGUGACGAAGCGUGAGUGACGGUAAUGGGUAAAGAAGCACCGGCUAACUACGUG